This 808-nucleotide unclassified non-coding RNA is filed under the name Hevea brasiliensis (rubber tree). The record is from RNAcentral. Lineage: Eukaryota; Viridiplantae; Streptophyta; Magnoliopsida; Malpighiales; Euphorbiaceae.
AAGAUGGAUCAAAGGGUUUUCUCAAAUCGUAAUCUAUAAUUUAUGAUCUUAUGUGUCUGUGGUGGUGGUAGAUUCUGAGAAUUGGUGGCAAUUUUUUAGGAUUCCAUCAAUAUCUCAGAGGAUUAAUGUUUUGAUCAAUUGUGGAGGGUUUGUGGAGAAACAUAUUGAAGACUUUUUUUUUGGGCAUACAUUUGGUGUUGGCUUCUUUGAUUACAGCUUGGAUGCCAACUUGCAUCUUCCUCCAGUGAGAAUAUGUUCAAAGGCUUGGUCAGGAAGUCUCUUGUGCAUCAUGAUUUUAUUUCCAGUCAUGCAUGCAAUGCAGAUUAUACCAAAAACUUAAAGUUUCUUUUAGGGAAAUGGAAUUUGAAUUGAGUUGGUAUGCUUUAUUUUGCACAUGUUUUCAGGUGUGAAUGGCACAUGACUUCUUGCUUUUAAGGGAUACAGAGCAUUAUUGUUAGAAUAUGAUCCUCUAUCCGAAUCUUAUGAUUUGAUUCAAUUUUCUGUCUUAACGAUUCGAAUCUGUUGGGUGAAUCUCAAAUGUGCUUGAAUCUUAACUAAAUCUUUUGAUUUAAUAGUGAAUCAAUAUGAAUCUAUCGAUUUGGUCGAUUUUUUUUUCUAGAGGUUUGUUUUACAUGUAGCUUCAAAUUUUAAUAUUUCAUGUUAUUUUUUUACUCUGAAACAUAAAAUUUCUCUUAGAUAUUUUUCUUUCAUUAUUCAUUUUUUUCCCUAUCCCUCUUUUGGUUUUUUUUUGUUUUUUGGUUAAUAGAUACUUGUUAAUUAUGAUAUUUUAUAUUAAUAUAUUCUAACC